GAAAACAUGUGGGACCAAGAGAAGACGACGGAGGACGUGGAGGUAGCGCAACUACGAGAACGAACAGCGCUGCUAGAUCACUCGGCUGCCAACCGCCAUGUCUUCGCUUUCGAUCGUACACGAAUCGUGGAUGCUAGUCUUAAGAAGCAAAACUUACACAUACUAGAAACAUGUCAUAUUAUAAACACACCGAACACAGUGAACAAGCGCACCGAUACAGACAAUCUGAGCAAUACGUACGCCGGCGUACUACACACUUUAAAAAACAAUACACGAAGCCAGGCCGUCCAACAGGCAAACGAAUCGGUACAACAAGAGUUAACACAAUCAGAGUAAAAGUGGCGCCAAAACGGGCAACUGCAUCGCUGUUCUGCGACCCGGAUAGUUUUUCGGAUAUUUUUCGGAUAUUUUAUCCCAUCCAUCCGCCGGCGGCGGCAGACGAUACGUUACGUCUGGGACAAAUGUGGCCUAUGCUGUGGGCUCAUACUGACGACAAAACGGAGCAUAGUUAAUUCCCAGAAGAAGGCGCAAUAUAGCGACCGAAACGUCGGAUGAAAGCUUAAAAAUCCGUUUUUGAGUUAUUCCUCCAAAGACUGAACGCCAUUCCCCUUCCAACAUAAUCA
Aedes albopictus (Asian tiger mosquito) is the source of this 623-nucleotide long non-coding RNA. RefSeq lists it as uncharacterized. The transcript has 3 exons. Lineage: Eukaryota; Metazoa; Arthropoda; Insecta; Diptera; Culicidae. The record is from RefSeq and is a predicted model, not a curated record.